CGGGAUGUGGCCCAGCUUGGUAGGGCGCCGCGUUCGGGACGCGGAGGUCGCGAGUUCAAAUCUCGCCAUCCCGACCA
RNAcentral lists this transfer RNA (77 nucleotides) under Clostridiales bacterium. RNAcentral describes it as "tRNA-Pro". It matches the Rfam family "tRNA". Rfam says of the family: Transfer RNA (tRNA) molecules are approximately 80 nucleotides in length. The record is from RNAcentral. Lineage: Bacteria; Bacillati; Bacillota; Clostridia; Eubacteriales.